GAGGGUAAUAUGGUAUGAUAUCCAUCACCACAUUGAUUGCCAGGGUUGAUUUGACUGAUCUGGCUGGCUAAGCAGGUGUUCCCUUCCUUUCCC
RNAcentral lists this small RNA (93 nucleotides) under Marmota marmota marmota (Alpine marmot). RNAcentral describes it as "7SK RNA". It matches the Rfam family "7SK RNA", at positions 1 to 103 of the family's 331-position model. Rfam says of the family: 7SK was discovered as an abundant small nuclear RNA in the mid-70s but a possible function has only recently been suggested. Two independent studies have found that 7SK RNA binds the CDK9/cyclin T complex (known as elongation factor P-TEFb). P-TEFb activates transcription by phosphorylating the C-terminal domain of RNA polymerase II. The record is from Rfam by way of RNAcentral. RNAcentral also lists the same sequence under 1 other name. Lineage: Eukaryota; Metazoa; Chordata; Mammalia; Rodentia; Sciuridae.